AGUGACAUGCAGAAACUCCUCUACGAGCUCAUUUGGGAUGCUGCCCAGAAUCAGGAAGGUCUGGACAGAGAGGAUAGGAUGUUGUGGGAAGGAUGGCUGUCCAGUGCUAAUCACAUCAAGGAGACCUGAGAUCGUGACUUAGAUCAUGGGGGAUGUGGCAGUUCCCUCCCCAAAGAACUCAAAGAGGAUCAAGGAGCAGAAAGCUGGAGCUGGGCUGUGUGAGAUGCAGAGGGGAAGGAAUGCGAUACUAGUCACAGGAGCAUUACUAAAAAUUAUAUUGAUAACAGAGAGAGCAGUUAUAAUAAAAAACACAGUAUUUUCCCACUCACUAUGGGAAAAAAGCCGAAGGUGGAGCAAAGCUUGGGAAGUUUGCUCUGGGCUUUUGCUUGAGCAAGUGCGGCAGUUGCAGGCUGUGUGUGGCUCCUUAGUUGCUGUUUUGGGACUUGGCUUUUGUUUCAGGGAGAUUAAGACCAAAGCAAUACAGACCUGGGCAUUUCCUGCUCAAUUUCUAAAGUAACGGAAUGUAGGACUGUGAAGAAGGCCGUUGAGGUAGAAAGAAGUGACAGAGUGCCCGCCUCAGAUGAAGAAAGUGAGGCAGUGCAAGAAACCAGCAUGAUGGAAUAGCUGCCCUGGGAUGAUGAGUCAGAUUCACUGUGGUCCCGCAGGCCUUUCCUCAUGCCUGCUCCAGCUUGGCCACCUACAGCCAAAGCUGGAGGUGUGAGUGCAGCAAAGCUGUUGUCCAGAAUCACGGCACAGGCUCUGAGGCUGAUUGUUGCCUGCAGUGUGUGGGGAGGAUAUUGCCAGCAGCAAUUGCCAGAGAGAUGCUUGACGGCAUCUCUGGACACUGUGGGGUUUUGGAGGGGUUCUUACACUUUUAGCUCAGGCAGUAAAGACUGUCCCAAGACAAUGCUAUUCCCUUUGAAGUGCUGAAGAGGAACCACUGAGCUCCUCACCCUUGUCCCUCUCCUCUCCACAGCAGCUCCAGCUCCACCUCUGGGCUGUCUCUCAUGGGGCUCUUAGCAGCCUCUGAGAUACCCCACCUCCUGAGAGGGCAGCCCAAGCUCUUUUCAGAAGAGAGCUGUGCCUCAACACUUGAACCAAGCCUUGCAAACUCUUGUGAUAUAGACAUCCACACUUGCAGCCCUGCAGAUGCACAUGUGAACUGAGAUGCACAUGUGGGACACAUGCAUGCCCAUGCCCUGCAGUGCUAUUUCUGAAAUGCCCGGGCUGCUUCUGAGGGAGCUGACGUGCCACUGCAGCAGGAAAACACCUCUGCAUACAAGGGGCUGCAGCAACAACCACCCCUGGGUUUCUCCUUGUGUGUUGUUCUGUUCAGUCGCCAGUCCCUUGGUUUCUCGCUAUAUUCCUGUUCUCUCCCACUCCCUCUCUGUCUUGCUGUCUAUCCAAAGCUUCUUCAACAAUCUCCAUCCCGCCCCAACCCAGACUUCGUUCUCUCCUACUCAUUCUGCUCCUUUCUGCUCAUUCUGCGUCUCUUCCUCUUUCCCUGCUGCGUCUUCCUGCAGCUCUGCUCCCAUUCCCUGCCCCUCUUUUGCUCUCGUUGCCUCUCCGUUCUGCUUCCUGUCCCUGUCUCUUCUGUCUUUAUUUCUCGGCUCUGCUCCCUGUGCCACGCUCAGCUCAGACUCCCAGGCGAGCUGCCCCGGCAGCCGGGACACGGCGGAGAGCUCUCCUGCAGCAGCGGCGAAUCGGGCCCGGGAGAGGCGCCUCGGCCCUCGGGCCGGAGCGGGGGCGCUCCGCGCCAGCGGGAGCAGCUGGAGCUGCGGCCCGGGAGGCGGGGCGGGCACAGCCCCACAGCCCCGUUCCCGCCCCUCAUGGCCACAAUGGGAAAGAACAGGGGUUCUCUUGGGAAACCAAGAGACUGGCAACUGGACAGAGCAACACACAAGGGGAAACCCAGGGGCGGUUUUUGCUGCAGCCCAAUAAAUCCAGAGGUGUUUUCCUGCUGCAGUGGUUGCUCCGAGCCAGCGGGAGCAGCUGGAGCUGCGGGGCGGGCACAGCCCCACAACCGCGUGCCCGCCCCUCACGGCCCCGUGCGAAAUGGCGGCAGCAGGGGGCAAGGAGGCCGCGGGCCCCGGGCAGCGCUGCCUCCGUGCCGUGCCACACACGCGGCAGGCGGCUUCAGCAGCAGCACAGGUCUCGGGGCACUGGUCCCACAGCUGGUGACGAGCCGCCGAGCAGCGCAAUGCCUCGAGUGCGUUAAAGGAGAGACUGGGUGUAUAACCCGUUAAAGGAACAAAGAAGGGCAGUGUUCAUCGGUGCCACCCCUCGGGCAGGAAUAGAGGGCCCGAGAUAGCACUCAGACUCAAUGCCGAGGCAGCUGGGCAGCCUGCCUGGCUUCUGGGCAGGAGAUGUCACCAAGACAUCCUCCAGCCUGGUACGGCCCUCUGCUUAUCAUUAUGUGCCACAGCCUUCAAGGUGGGCUGUGAUCUGUGCUCAAUUCCAGAGGAUGGCAUUGGCCAAGCUGAUGCGGCUUGUCGGUUGGAGUCUGCUUAUGAGCCUUGGAGAGACACCCUAAAGGGGGAAAUCUGUCCGUGCCUCUGUGCUUGCAGCUCUAAACACCUGGGGGUUAACUGGUGCUUCAGGGGCAAUUAUACCAAAGGUGCUCUAGAAGGCUUUCCAAGAGAUUCUAGCGUAGCGUGCCUGGCGCACGUAAAUCCUGAAUAUUUCCUUCCCAGAAGAGCUGCUAAGCUAAAAGGCUACCCGUGUUAACUGUUACCUGCAGGAACUGACACAUUUGUGUGUCUCCCAUGGCAUUACCACCUGGGGUCUGAGGACAAGCAAGAGGGAGCUCAGGGCCUCUGGAUGACUGCUUGAGGGAUCUGGGCCGCAUGUGGUAUUUACUUCUGCCACUUGCAGUGACCCAGACACAGAAAGGUUCUAGAGGUGAAUACCUGGCACCCUGGUGUGCCCAACAGAAGUGUAGGGCUUUGACUGUGGGUUACUCCACAGGACACCAGGCCUGAUGGUGGCACAUGGGCUACACCUGCCUCCAAGGGAAAAAGGAUCUUGGCUCAGGAGUUAGUGGGGCUCCUUAAGAGGGCUUUACGUAGGUUUGGAAGUGGAAAGGGAAUAUACUAGGCUCACCUGGGAGAAGCAUGAGCACUGCAAACACAUGUUUGCAUGACAGUGGAGGAUGGAAGCAGUGCUGCCAUCAAAGAUCAUGAAACUGUAGCACAAGUAAUGGGGAAAACAGGUUUCUUGCCAGAAUGCUGUCAGACAAAAAUACUACCAAAGAAAGACACAAUUGAGUUUUUUACAGCAGCCUUCAUACAGGGCUGCUGAUGGGGAUUUAUGAAGAAUAGGACCUGAGUGCCUCUGCAUUCCCAUGCACAGUGCUGCCUCCCAGAAUACAUCAACCCUUCUCCAUUUUGCUCCUUCCAUUCCUAUGCAGAAUAAGGAAAUCAAUAGAGGGCGGGUCCAGGAAUUCACAUGCAAUGUGGGUGUACAUUGGGGAGUUCACAGACACCACUAUGUUAUGAGGUCACAGAGCCCUGUUUGAUGUGAGGUUCCAGAGCCCCACUGCUGCUCUUCAGUGCUCGCUCUGGGCAACACUGCAGCAGCAGCAGCAGCAGUGGCAGGAGCAGCAGAAUCAUGGUCCUGGGCCACUACCUCCUGCUCCUCUUUCUCCUGGCCCUGCAAGCCCAGAAUGCCCAGAGUGCUCCAACACCUGGGCAGGGAGCAGUUGUGGACACAGAGAGAACUCUUUCAGCCCCUGAGCUGGAGCCAAAUACCAUGCUGAUUCCGAGCUGGUACCUCAAGCGUGAGUCAUCAGUCUCUACCGCCUUCACGAGAAUGAGCACUCCUUUCUCCUUUUCCCUGUGUUAUUCAUGAGAAAUACACCUUCAUAGGUAUGACAUCCUUUCAUAAAUCUAACAAUAGGGAAUAAUUAUGACAAGGUUCCUGAAGAAUUCCCUGAAGGAUUCCCAGAUGUUUCAGAGGAGCUCCUGAACACCUUGCAUGAAGCCCCAUCUGGUUAGUAUAUCCCACUCUGUUAACCCUGGGACCUGGGAAGCUGAGCUUUUGGUUCCUGGAGGGAUGUGCUGUAUCCUGGACAGCCAGAAGUGCUGCAGGGAUUUCACACCAUUUCACACCUCCUGGAGUGAGCCAUAGAGAUGGUCCAGCACAGCGUCUGCUCACAGCUCUGCUUCCAGACGAUUGCCAGGGGCAUCUCCAGAUGCUGCUGCAAUUGUACCAUUACUGGCCAGAGCUGCUGUGUGCAGACACUGGCAUCCAGAUGUGGGGAAAAGGCCUGUGCUGAAUUUGUGUUCGCCUCACACUCAGCACAGCAUGGAGGCAGAAAUGCUAUCCCACAAAAUCUUGGCUGCCCCUGCCAAACCUCAGGCUCAGGGAUGGGCUGAAGCUGGACCCCAAGUGUGAGGGUGAACCUGGAGGUAUUCCUUCUGUGGGUCAUUUGGUUGAUUAAGUCUUGGCUGGUUUGGGUCUGCAUUUCUUGUUGCACUGCAGAAAAUCUGGCUAUGGAUUCCUCUUGUCUUGGGGGACAGCAGGCUCCUCACUGCCACUUGCCAGAAUGCCCGGCCACGGUACUGUGCUCUUGGAAAGGGACAGUGGCUUCUGGUUACAGUGUCCAGUGUUUUUUUCUGAAGAGACGGAUUCUGAGACUGUGCUGGAGACCUUCCCUAUGGAAGAAAAUGGCAGCCUGCCAGGCUCAGAUGAAGAAAGAGAACCAACAGAGGACACCAGCACACUUGCUGAGCCUGGGGAAUAUUCAUGGUCAGCUGCUGGGCAAAAAGCCAAGACUGCUGGACAGUGGGAAUUUAGCAAGAACUACAUUCUAGCAUCUGUAGCAGUCUCGGCUCUGCUGCUGCUUGCAGCAGUGGUUGGGUACAUAAUCAUGUACCAGGCUGCUGAAGCGAGACAUGUGAGUUAUUCAUUGCUGCCAUUGGCAAUGAAGGGUUUGCACCAGGCUGGAGUGCCCAGGCAGCUCCUAGCAAGGCUCUGUGGAAACCGCUGCAGUGCAAUGCUUUAACUGUGCUCCAAAUUCAUAUCUAUGAGGAGUCUUGGAAAUCUGUUUCUACAGCAGGACUCAGGAAGACAAGGAGGCAACAAGACAGGACUGGGACUCUUCCAGGGAAAGCUGUGGUCUGCCUAGACGUGAAGCAGAAUCAAGCUGCCGCCUGUUUCCUGAGGUCUUUGCAGCAGAGCUUGCCCAGGUGUACAAGAACAUGGGCACAGACCGCUCACCUCUGCCCAUGUGUUCCUUCUGUGCUCUGGCUGACGGUGCUUCUUCACGGGACCACUGGAUUUCCCUGGACUCACCUCAGCCCACACCAUUCUGGUGCCCCUGCUACCAGUACCAGCAGGAACACUUUAUAUUAGGGGACCAUGAUUAGUGAUAGUGAGAGUUAUAAAUAGUGAUAGGGAUGGUGACACCUGCAGUGAUACUUUUAGUGGUAGUGACACUUUUAGUGAUAGUGAUACUUUAUAUUAGAGGAUAACGAUUAUUUUACUGAUAGUGGUAGCAUAUAAAUAAAUGUAUUUCCAAAAGCAGUAAGUCCUUGGCUGUUGCGGAUGUUUCUGUUGGGGUAGAAUGCACAGAGCUGGGAGCAGGUCUGGGGCUGGUAGAGGAGCUCUGAGCAACUUGCACUGCAGUGCAGGAGCUGUUUGUGCCAGCCUCAGCCUGCUUUCCCAGCAGUGGCCAGUAACAAGGCUUUCCUUCACCAGAAUAAGGACACGCUAGUGAGGAGUGACAUGCAGAAACUCCUCUACGAGCUCAUUUGGGAUGCUGCCCAGAAUCAGGAAGGUCUGGACAGAGAGGAUAGGAUGUUGUGGGAAGGAUGGCUGUCCAGUGCUAAUCACAUCAAGGAGACCUGAGAUCGUGACUUAGAUCAUGGGGGAUGUGGCAGUUCCCUCCCCAAAGAACUCAAAGAGGAUCAAGGAGCAGAAAGCUGGAGCUGGGCUGUGUGAGAUGCAGAGGGGAAGGAAUGCGAUACUAGUCACAGGAGCAUUACUAAAAAUUAUAUUGAUAACAGAGAGAGCAGUUAUAAUAAAAAACACAGUAUUUUCCCACUCACUAUGGGAAAAAAGCCGAAGGUGGAGCAAAGCUUGGGAAGUUUGCUCUGGGCUUUUGCUUGAGCAAGUGCGGCAGUUGCAGGCUGUGUGUGGCUCCUUAGUUGCUGUUUUGGGACUUGGCUUUUGUUUCAGGGAGAUUAAGACCAAAGCAAUACAGACCUGGGCAUUUCCUGCUCAAUUUCUAAAGUAACGGAAUGUAGGACUGUGAAGAAGGCCGUUGAGGUAGAAAGAAGUGACAGAGUGCCCGCCUCAGAUGAAGAAAGUGAGGCAGUGCAAGAAACCAGCAUGAUGGAAUAGCUGCCCUGGGAUGAUGAGUCAGAUUCACUGUGGUCCCGCAGGCCUUUCCUCAUGCCUGCUCCAGCUUGGCCACCUACAGCCAAAGCUGGAGGUGUGAGUGCAGCAAAGCUGUUGUCCAGAAUCACGGCACAGGCUCUGAGGCUGAUUGUUGCCUGCAGUGUGUGGGGAGGAUAUUGCCAGCAGCAAUUGCCAGAGAGAUGCUUGACGGCAUCUCUGGACACUGUGGGGUUUUGGAGGGGUUCUUACACUUUUAGCUCAGGCAGUAAAGACUGUCCCAAGACAAUGCUAUUCCCUUUGAAGUGCUGAAGAGGAACCACUGAGCUCCUCACCCUUGUCCCUCUCCUCUCCACAGCAGCUCCAGCUCCACCUCUGGGCUGUCUCUCAUGGGGCUCUUAGCAGCCUCUGAGAUACCCCACCUCCUGAGAGGGCAGCCCAAGCUCUUUUCAGAAGAGAGCUGUGCCUCAACACUUGAACCAAGCCUUGCAAACUCUUGUGAUAUAGACAUCCACACUUGCAGCCCUGCAGAUGCACAUGUGAACUGAGAUGCACAUGUGGGACACAUGCAUGCCCAUGCCCUGCAGUGCUAUUUCUGAAAUGCCCGGGCUGCUUCUGAGGGAGCUGACGUGCCACUGCAGCAGGAAAACACCUCUGCAUACAAGGGGCUGCAGCAACAACCACCCCUGGGUUUCUCCUUGUGUGUUGUUCUGUUCAGUCGCCAGUCCCUUGGUUUCUCGCUAUAUUCCUGUUCUCUCCCACUCCCUCUCUGUCUUGCUGUCUAUCCAAAGCUUCUUCAACAAUCUCCAUCCCGCCCCAACCCAGACUUCGUUCUCUCCUACUCAUUCUGCUCCUUUCUGCUCAUUCUGCGUCUCUUCCUCUUUCCCUGCUGCGUCUUCCUGCAGCUCUGCUCCCAUUCCCUGCCCCUCUUUUGCUCUCGUUGCCUCUCCGUUCUGCUUCCUGUCCCUGUCUCUUCUGUCUUUAUUUCUCGGCUCUGCUCCCUGUGCCACGCUCAGCUCAGACUCCCAGGCGAGCUGCCCCGGCAGCCGGGACACGGCGGAGAGCUCUCCUGCAGCAGCGGCGAAUCGGGCCCGGGAGAGGCGCCUCGGCCCUCGGGCCGGAGCGGGGGCGCUCCGCGCCAGCGGGAGCAGCUGGAGCUGCGGCCCGGGAGGCGGGGCGGGCACAGCCCCACAGCCCCGUUCCCGCCCCUCAUGGCCACAAUGGGAAAGAACAGGGGUUCUCUUGGGAAACCAAGAGACUGGCAACUGGACAGAGCAACACACAAGGGGAAACCCAGGGGCGGUUUUUGCUGCAGCCCAAUAAAUCCAGAGGUGUUUUCCUGCUGCAGUGGUUGCUCCGAGCCAGCGGGAGCAGCUGGAGCUGCGGGGCGGGCACAGCCCCACAACCGCGUGCCCGCCCCUCACGGCCCCGUGCGAAAUGGCGGCAGCAGGGGGCAAGGAGGCCGCGGGCCCCGGGCAGCGCUGCCUCCGUGCCGUGCCACACACGCGGCAGGCGGCUUCAGCAGCAGCACAGGUCUCGGGGCACUGGUCCCACAGCUGGUGACGAGCCGCCGAGCAGCGCAAUGCCUCGAGUGCGUUAAAGGAGAGACUGGGUGUAUAACCCGUUAAAGGAACAAAGAAGGGCAGUGUUCAUCGGUGCCACCCCUCGGGCAGGAAUAGAGGGCCCGAGAUAGCACUCAGACUCAAUGCCGAGGCAGCUGGGCAGCCUGCCUGGCUUCUGGGCAGGAGAUGUCACCAAGACAUCCUCCAGCCUGGUACGGCCCUCUGCUUAUCAUUAUGUGCCACAGCCUUCAAGGUGGGCUGUGAUCUGUGCUCAAUUCCAGAGGAUGGCAUUGGCCAAGCUGAUGCGGCUUGUCGGUUGGAGUCUGCUUAUGAGCCUUGGAGAGACACCCUAAAGGGGGAAAUCUGUCCGUGCCUCUGUGCUUGCAGCUCUAAACACCUGGGGGUUAACUGGUGCUUCAGGGGCAAUUAUACCAAAGGUGCUCUAGAAGGCUUUCCAAGAGAUUCUAGCGUAGCGUGCCUGGCGCACGUAAAUCCUGAAUAUUUCCUUCCCAGAAGAGCUGCUAAGCUAAAAGGCUACCCGUGUUAACUGUUACCUGCAGGAACUGACACAUUUGUGUGUCUCCCAUGGCAUUACCACCUGGUGUCUGAGGACAAGCAAGAGGGAGCUCAGGGCCUCUGGAUGACUGCUUGAGGGAUCUGGGCCGCAUGUGGUAUUUACUUCUGCCACUUGCAGUGACCCAGACACAGAAAGGUUCUAGAGGUGAAUACCUGGCACCCUGGUGUGCCCAACAGAAGUGUAGGGCUUUGACUGUGGGUUACUCCACAGGACACCAGGCCUGAUGGUGGCACAUGGGCUACACCUGCCUCCAAGGGAAAAAGGAUCUUGGCUCAGGAGUUAGUGGGGCUCCUUAAGAGGGCUUUACGUAGGUUUGGAAGUGGAAAGGGAAUAUACUAGGCUCACCUGGGAGAAGCAUGAGCACUGCAAACACAUGUUUGCAUGACAGUGGAGGAUGGAAGCAGUGCUGCCAUCAAAGAUCAUGAAACUGUAGCACAAGUAAUGGGGAAAACAGGUUUCUUGCCAGAAUGCUGUCAGACAAAAAUACUACCAAAGAAAGACACAAUUGAGUUUUUUACAGCAGCCUUCAUACAGGGCUGCUGAUGGGGAUUUAUGAAGAAUAGGACCUGAGUGCCUCUGCAUUCCCAUGCACAGUGCUGCCUCCCAGAAUACAUCAACCCUUCUCCAUUUUGCUCCUUCCAUUCCUAUGCAGAAUAAGGAAAUCAAUAGAGGGCGGGUCCAGGAAUUCACAUGCAAUGUGGGUGUACAUUGGGGAGUUCACAGACACCACUAUGUUAUGAGGUCACAGAGCCCUGUUUGAUGUGAGGUUCCAGAGCCCCACUGCUGCUCUUCAGUGCUCGCUCUGGGCAACACUGCAGCAGCAGCAGCAGCAGUGGCAGGAGCAGCAGAAUCAUGGUCCUGGGCCACUACCUCCUGCUCCUCUUUCUCCUGGCCCUGCAAGCCCAGAAUGCCCAGAGUGCUCCAACACCUGGGCAGGGAGCAGUUGUGGACACAGAGAGAACUCUUUCAGCCCCUGAGCUGGAGCCAAAUACCAUGCUGAUUCCGAGCUGGUACCUCAAGCGGAAUAAUUAUGACAAGGUUCCUGAAGAAUUCCCUGAAGGAUUCCCAGAUGUUUCAGAGGAGCUCCUGAACACCUUGCAUGAAGCCCCAUCUGGUUAGUAUAUCCCACUCUGUUAACCCUGGGACCUGGGAAGCUGAGCUUUUGGUUCCUGGAGGGAUGUGCUGUAUCCUGGACAGCCAGAAGUGCUGCAGGGAUUUCACACCAUUUCACACCUCCUGGAGUGAGCCAUAGAGAUGGUCCAGCACAGCGUCUGCUCACAGCUCUGCUUCCAGACGAUUGCCAGGGGCAUCUCCAGAUGCUGCUGCAAUUGUACCAUUACUGGCCAGAGCUGCUGUGUGCAGACACUGGCAUCCAGAUGUGGGGAAAAGGCCUGUGCUGAAUUUGUGUUCGCCUCACACUCAGCACAGCAUGGAGGCAGAAAUGCUAUCCCACAAAAUCUUGGCUGCCCCUGCCAAACCUCAGGCUCAGGGAUGGGCUGAAGCUGGACCCCAAGUGUGAGGGUGAACCUGGAGGUAUUCCUUCUGUGGGUCAUUUGGUUGAUUAAGUCUUGGCUGGUUUGGGUCUGCAUUUCUUGUUGCACUGCAGAAAAUCUGGCUAUGGAUUCCUCUUGUCUUGGGGGACAGCAGGCUCCUCACUGCCACUUGCCAGAAUGCCCGGCCACGGUACUGUGCUCUUGGAAAGGGACAGUGGCUUCUGGUUACAGUGUCCAGUGUUUUUUUCUGAAGAGACGGAUUCUGAGACUGUGCUGGAGACCUUCCCUAUGGAAGAAAAUGGCAGCCUGCCAGGCUCAGAUGAAGAAAGAGAACCAACAGAGGACACCAGCACACUUGCUGAGCCUGGGGAAUAUUCAUGGUCAGCUGCUGGGCAAAAAGCCAAGACUGCUGGACAGUGGGAAUUUAGCAAGAACUACAUUCUAGCAUCUGUAGCAGUCUCGGCUCUGCUGCUGCUUGCAGCAGUGGUUGGGUACAUAAUCAUGUACCAGGCUGCUGAAGCGAGACAUGUGAGUUAUUCAUUGCUGCCAUUGGCAAUGAAGGGUUUGCACCAGGCUGGAGUGCCCAGGCAGCUCCUAGCAAGGCUCUGUGGAAACCGCUGCAGUGCAAUGCUUUAACUGUGCUCCAAAUUCAUAUCUAUGAGGAGUCUUGGAAAUCUGUUUCUACAGCAGGACUCAGGAAGACAAGGAGGCAACAAGACAGGACUGGGACUCUUCCAGGGAAAGCUGUGGUCUGCCUAGACGUGAAGCAGAAUCAAGCUGCCGCCUGUUUCCUGAGGUCUUUGCAGCAGAGCUUGCCCAGGUGUACAAGAACAUGGGCACAGACCGCUCACCUCUGCCCAUGUGUUCCUUCUGUGCUCUGGCUGACGGUGCUUCUUCACGGGACCACUGGAUUUCCCUGGACUCACCUCAGCCCACACCAUUCUGGUGCCCCUGCUACCAGUACCAGCAGGAACACUUUAUAUUAGGGGACCAUGAUUAGUGAUAGUGAGAGUUAUAAAUAGUGAUAGGGAUGGUGACACCUGCAGUGAUACUUUUAGUGGUAGUGACACUUUUAGUGAUAGUGAUACUUUAUAUUAGAGGAUAACGAUUAUUUUACUGAUAGUGGUAGCAUAUAAAUAAAUGUAUUUCCAAAAGCAGUAAGUCCUUGGCUGUUGCGGAUGUUUCUGUUGGGGUAGAAUGCACAGAGCUGGGAGCAGGUCUGGGGCUGGUAGAGGAGCUCUGAGCAACUUGCACUGCAGUGCAGGAGCUGUUUGUGCCAGCCUCAGCCUGCUUUCCCAGCAGUGGCCAGUAACAAGGCUUUCCUUCACCAGAAUAAGGACACGCUAGUGAGGAGUGACAUGCAGAAACUCCUCUACGAGCUCAUUUGGGAUGCUGCCCAGAAUCAGGAAGGUCUGGACAGAGAGGAUAGGAUGUUGUGGGAAGGAUGGCUGUCCAGUGCUAAUCACAUCAAGGAGACCUGAGAUCGUGACUUAGAUCAUGGGGGAUGUGGCAGUUCCCUCCCCAAAGAACUCAAAGAGGAUCAAGGAGCAGAAAGCUGGAGCUGGGCUGUGUGAGAUGCAGAGGGGAAGGAAUGCGAUACUAGUCACAGGAGCAUUACUAAAAAUUAUAUUGAUAACAGAGAGAGCAGUUAUAAUAAAAAACACAGUAUUUUCCCACUCACUAUGGGAAAAAAGCCGAAGGUGGAGCAAAGCUUGGGAAGUUUGCUCUGGGCUUUUGCUUGAGCAAGUGCGGCAGUUGCAGGCUGUGUGUGGCUCCUUAGUUGCUGUUUUGGGACUUGGCUUUUGUUUCAGGGAGAUUAAGACCAAAGCAAUACAGACCUGGGCAUUUCCUGCUCAAUUUCUAAAGUAACGGAAUGUAGGACUGUGAAGAAGGCCGUUGAGGUAGAAAGAAGUGACAGAGUGCCCGCCUCAGAUGAAGAAAGUGAGGCAGUGCAAGAAACCAGCAUGAUGGAAUAGCUGCCCUGGGAUGAUGAGUCAGAUUCACUGUGGUCCCGCAGGCCUUUCCUCAUGCCUGCUCCAGCUUGGCCACCUACAGCCAAAGCUGGAGGUGUGAGUGCAGCAAAGCUGUUGUCCAGAAUCACGGCACAGGCUCUGAGGCUGAUUGUUGCCUGCAGUGUGUGGGGAGGAUAUUGCCAGCAGCAAUUGCCAGAGAGAUGCUUGACGGCAUCUCUGGACACUGUGGGGUUUUGGAGGGGUUCUUACACUUUUAGCUCAGGCAGUAAAGACUGUCCCAAGACAAUGCUAUUCCCUUUGAAGUGCUGAAGAGGAACCACUGAGCUCCUCACCCUUGUCCCUCUCCUCUCCACAGCAGCUCCAGCUCCACCUCUGGGCUGUCUCUCAUGGGGCUCUUAGCAGCCUCUGAGAUACCCCACCUCCUGAGAGGGCAGCCCAAGCUCUUUUCAGAAGAGAGCUGUGCCUCAACACUUGAACCAAGCCUUGCAAACUCUUGUGAUAUAGACAUCCACACUUGCAGCCCUGCAGAUGCACAUGUGAACUGAGAUGCACAUGUGGGACACAUGCAUGCCCAUGCCCUGCAGUGCUAUUUCUGAAAUGCCCGGGCUGCUUCUGAGGGAGCUGACGUGCCACUGCAGCAGGAAAACACCUCUGCAUACAAGGGGCUGCAGCAACAACCACCCCUGGGUUUCUCCUUGUGUGUUGUUCUGUUCAGUCGCCAGUCCCUUGGUUUCUCGCUAUAUUCCUGUUCUCUCCCACUCCCUCUCUGUCUUGCUGUCUAUCCAAAGCUUCUUCAACAAUCUCCAUCCCGCCCCAACCCAGACUUCGUUCUCUCCUACUCAUUCUGCUCCUUUCUGCUCAUUCUGCGUCUCUUCCUCUUUCCCUGCUGCGUCUUCCUGCAGCUCUGCUCCCAUUCCCUGCCCCUCUUUUGCUCUCGUUGCCUCUCCGUUCUGCUUCCUGUCCCUGUCUCUUCUGUCUUUAUUUCUCGGCUCUGCUCCCUGUGCCACGCUCAGCUCAGACUCCCAGGCGAGCUGCCCCGGCAGCCGGGACACGGCGGAGAGCUCUCCUGCAGCAGCGGCGAAUCGGGCCCGGGAGAGGCGCCUCGGCCCUCGGGCCGGAGCGGGGGCGCUCCGCGCCAGCGGGAGCAGCUGGAGCUGCGGCCCGGGAGGCGGGGCGGGCACAGCCCCACAGCCCCGUUCCCGCCCCUCAUGGCCACAAUGGGAAAGAACAGGGGUUCUCUUGGGAAACCAAGAGACUGGCAACUGGACAGAGCAACACACAAGGGGAAACCCAGGGGCGGUUUUUGCUGCAGCCCAAUAAAUCCAGAGGUGUUUUCCUGCUGCAGUGGUUGCUCCGAGCCAGCGGGAGCAGCUGGAGCUGCGGGGCGGGCACAGCCCCACAACCGCGUGCCCGCCCCUCACGGCCCCGUGCGAAAUGGCGGCAGCAGGGGGCAAGGAGGCCGCGGGCCCCGGGCAGCGCUGCCUCCGUGCCGUGCCACACACGCGGCAGGCGGCUUCAGCAGCAGCACAGGUCUCGGGGCACUGGUCCCACAGCUGGUGACGAGCCGCCGAGCAGCGCAAUGCCUCGAGUGCGUUAAAGGAGAGACUGGGUGUAUAACCCGUUAAAGGAACAAAGAAGGGCAGUGUUCAUCGGUGCCACCCCUCGGGCAGGAAUAGAGGGCCCGAGAUAGCACUCAGACUCAAUGCCGAGGCAGCUGGGCAGCCUGCCUGGCUUCUGGGCAGGAGAUGUCACCAAGACAUCCUCCAGCCUGGUACGGCCCUCUGCUUAUCAUUAUGUGCCACAGCCUUCAAGGUGGGCUGUGAUCUGUGCUCAAUUCCAGAGGAUGGCAUUGGCCAAGCUGAUGCGGCUUGUCGGUUGGAGUCUGCUUAUGAGCCUUGGAGAGACACCCUAAAGGGGGAAAUCUGUCCGUGCCUCUGUGCUUGCAGCUCUAAACACCUGGGGGUUAACUGGUGCUUCAGGGGCAAUUAUACCAAAGGUGCUCUAGAAGGCUUUCCAAGAGAUUCUAGCGUAGCGUGCCUGGCGCACGUAAAUCCUGAAUAUUUCCUUCCCAGAAGAGCUGCUAAGCUAAAAGGCUACCCGUGUUAACUGUUACCUGCAGGAACUGACACAUUUGUGUGUCUCCCAUGGCAUUACCACCUGGGGUCUGAGGACAAGCAAGAGGGAGCUCAGGGCCUCUGGAUGACUGCUUGAGGGAUCUGGGCCGCAUGUGGUAUUUACUUCUGCCACUUGCAGUGACCCAGACACAGAAAGGUUCUAGAGGUGAAUACCUGGCACCCUGGUGUGCCCAACAGAAGUGUAGGGCUUUGACUGUGGGUUACUCCACAGGACACCAGGCCUGAUGGUGGCACAUGGGCUACACCUGCCUCCAAGGGAAAAAGGAUCUUGGCUCAGGAGUUAGUGGGGCUCCUUAAGAGGGCUUUACGUAGGUUUGGAAGUGGAAAGGGAAUAUACUAGGCUCACCUGGGAGAAGCAUGAGCACUGCAAACACAUGUUUGCAUGACAGUGGAGGAUGGAAGCAGUGCUGCCAUCAAAGAUCAUGAAACUGUAGCACAAGUAAUGGGGAAAACAGGUUUCUUGCCAGAAUGCUGUCAGACAAAAAUACUACCAAAGAAAGACACAAUUGAGUUUUUUACAGCAGCCUUCAUACAGGGCUGCUGAUGGGGAUUUAUGAAGAAUAGGACCUGAGUGCCUCUGCAUUCCCAUGCACAGUGCUGCCUCCCAGAAUACAUCAACCCUUCUCCAUUUUGCUCCUUCCAUUCCUAUGCAGAAUAAGGAAAUCAAUAGAGGGCGGGUCCAGGAAUUCACAUGCAAUGUGGGUGUACAUUGGGGAGUUCACAGACACCACUAUGUUAUGAGGUCACAGAGCCCUGUUUGAUGUGAGGUUCCAGAGCCCCACUGCUGCUCUUCAGUGCUCGCUCUGGGCAACACUGCAGCAGCAGCAGCAGCAGUGGCAGGAGCAGCAGAAUCAUGGUCCUGGGCCACUACCUCCUGCUCCUCUUUCUCCUGGCCCUGCAAGCCCAGAAUGCCCAGAGUGCUCCAACACCUGGGCAGGGAGCAGUUGUGGACACAGAGAGAACUCUUUCAGCCCCUGAGCUGGAGCCAAAUACCAUGCUGAUUCCGAGCUGGUACCUCAAGCGGAAUAAUUAUGACAAGGUUCCUGAAGAAUUCCCUGAAGGAUUCCCAGAUGUUUCAGAGGAGCUCCUGAACACCUUGCAUGAAGCCCCAUCUGGUUAGUAUAUCCCACUCUGUUAACCCUGGGACCUGGGAAGCUGAGCUUUUGGUUCCUGGAGGGAUGUGCUGUAUCCUGGACAGCCAGAAGUGCUGCAGGGAUUUCACACCAUUUCACACCUCCUGGAGUGAGCCAUAGAGAUGGUCCAGCACAGCGUCUGCUCACAGCUCUGCUUCCAGACGAUUGCCAGGGGCAUCUCCAGAUGCUGCUGCAAUUGUACCAUUACUGGCCAGAGCUGCUGUGUGCAGACACUGGCAUCCAGAUGUGGGGAAAAGGCCUGUGCUGAAUUUGUGUUCGCCUCACACUCAGCACAGCAUGGAGGCAGAAAUGCUAUCCCACAAAAUCUUGGCUGCCCCUGCCAAACCUCAGGCUCAGGGAUGGGCUGAAGCUGGACCCCAAGUGUGAGGGUGAACCUGGAGGUAUUCCUUCUGUGGGUCAUUUGGUUGAUUAAGUCUUGGCUGGUUUGGGUCUGCAUUUCUUGUUGCACUGCAGAAAAUCUGGCUAUGGAUUCCUCUUGUCUUGGGGGACAGCAGGCUCCUCACUGCCACUUGCCAGAAUGCCCGGCCACGGUACUGUGCUCUUGGAAAGGGACAGUGGCUUCUGGUUACAGUGUCCAGUGUUUUUUUCUGAAGAGACGGAUUCUGAGACUGUGCUGGAGACCUUCCCUAUGGAAGAAAAUGGCAGCCUGCCAGGCUCAGAUGAAGAAAGAGAACCAACAGAGGACACCAGCACACUUGCUGAGCCUGGGGAAUAUUCAUGGUCAGCUGCUGGGCAAAAAGCCAAGACUGCUGGACAGUGGGAAUUUAGCAAGAACUACAUUCUAGCAUCUGUAGCAGUCUCGGCUCUGCUGCUGCUUGCAGCAGUGGUUGGGUACAUAAUCAUGUACCAGGCUGCUGAAGCGAGACAUGUGAGUUAUUCAUUGCUGCCAUUGGCAAUGAAGGGUUUGCACCAGGCUGGAGUGCCCAGGCAGCUCCUAGCAAGGCUCUGUGGAAACCGCUGCAGUGCAAUGCUUUAACUGUGCUCCAAAUUCAUAUCUAUGAGGAGUCUUGGAAAUCUGUUUCUACAGCAGGACUCAGGAAGACAAGGAGGCAACAAGACAGGACUGGGACUCUUCCAGGGAAAGCUGUGGUCUGCCUAGACGUGAAGCAGAAUCAAGCUGCCGCCUGUUUCCUGAGGUCUUUGCAGCAGAGCUUGCCCAGGUGUACAAGAACAUGGGCACAGACCGCUCACCUCUGCCCAUGUGUUCCUUCUGUGCUCUGGCUGACGGUGCUUCUUCACGGGACCACUGGAUUUCCCUGGACUCACCUCAGCCCACACCAUUCUGGUGCCCCUGCUACCAGUACCAGCAGGAACACUUUAUAUUAGGGGACCAUGAUUAGUGAUAGUGAGAGUUAUAAAUAGUGAUAGGGAUGGUGACACCUGCAGUGAUACUUUUAGUGGUAGUGACACUUUUAGUGAUAGUGAUACUUUAUAUUAGAGGAUAACGAUUAUUUUACUGAUAGUGGUAGCAUAUAAAUAAAUGUAUUUCCAAAAGCAGUAA
This is an RNA transcript of Vidua chalybeata, 16734 nucleotides long. RefSeq lists it as uncharacterized. Lineage: Eukaryota; Metazoa; Chordata; Aves; Passeriformes; Viduidae. The transcript is spliced from 9 exons. The record is from RefSeq and is a predicted model, not a curated record.